Molecule: unclassified non-coding RNA, 162 nt
Filed under: fungal sp.
Lineage: Eukaryota; Fungi
Description: partial internal transcribed spacer region
Rfam family: Eukaryotic small subunit ribosomal RNA (bases 1-46)
Source: RNAcentral
AAGUCGUAACAAGGUUUCCGUAGGUGAACCUGCGGAAGGAUCAUUAUUGAAUCUAGCAAGCCCGGCUUGCGCGUAUUUAAAACCCCAUACUUUUGAAAAUAAAACAUAACUUACUUAAAAAUAAGUAAAAGAUCACUUUCAACAACGGAUCUCUUGGCUCUC